AGCAUGGAUGAUUAGGCCUCACUGCAUAUUAGAGUGACAGAGUAUAUUCCUGCUUCAGCGUAUUCUUCUGCUGAGGAUUUUGCUACCAACUUCUGCAGCAAAAACAAGUUUGAAGCAGAAUUUAGAUAUCUAUGGGCUGAAGUUACAAUUCUAAAGCUGUCUGCUUGUUCACGUGCAUCAGCUUUGCUCAACUUUCCCAAAGUUUUGAUCCCAUUCUUCACAUCCAAAAUGAAACUUAUCAAAGAAUAAGUUUUUGAAUUUGGAACACUACUGCUAAGCAAGCUGGUAUGAUGGCCUAUUUCAAUAGUUUUUAUCAGAUUAUUAAAUAAAAUUAUCUUCUUAAUAAAAUCAGAUUGAUAUGACUAGACAUAAAGCAACAAAUGCAUUUACAAUAGUGGCAUAGAAAAAACUUUAUGGAACAGUAUUUUUUUUCUGCUGAAUAGCAGUUGUGGUCUAUCCUAAACUGAAACACAUUAUUUUUGACUUUAUAUUAUUACUGCGAGUUUUUCUGAAGGUUUUCUUAAAAUAGCGAUAUACAGAUUAAUACUCAUUGUAUAUUUAACUCCCCAGAUCAGUAACACUGUUUUUUAAUUUAAGAAUCUACAGAUUGGGUUGAAGGACAAGUCCACCUAGACAAGAAAUUGUAUCUGACAGUAAUCAAUGAAGGUUGUCUAGGGAAAAGUAUUAAAAACAGAACAAGUUUGCAGCAAGACUUCCUUAGAAUGUUUUCCAACAUGCCAACAUUUGAUGGUCAUCCAAUUUUUGGUGCUAUGAAAUUAAUUAUCUUCAGAGUGAUUUAUUACUUUUUUCUCUCUUCAUGUAGCCUACCAAGGUUCCGAUGUAAACAGCUAAACUAAAAAAUGAAAUAAAUCAGCUGGAUAAGGAAUUUUCAAAUAUACUGUUUUACACCAGAAUGACUGCUGAAAUAUGAAGUUACAACAGAACCAGAGAAAAUACUUCUUCAAAGUGCAAUAGAUUUUCAAAGAAAAUUUUUAAGGACGUAAAGGAAUAACAGCUUGAAAUGUUCUAUCACUUACAUCAGUGUAUCCAUCUAGUACAGGCAAAGCAUUGGCACAAUAAACAGCAGCCUAUUAAAUCUUUAUUUCCAAGGCACACCUGUUACAAGGAAGUUAAAAAAGGUGAAGGUUAACAACGGAGACCAGCUUUUAUACAGAUCACAGAGAUCACAUCUGAAGGUGUUACACUUGGGAGCAGGCAUUACAGAGGGACACAUCAGGAAUAUGCCCCCUAGCCUAUGAUAUUGUACAAGCUCUGUAACAUCCUGCAGGCCAAAAAGCAGUAAUUGUUGUAUAAAUUGUUGUAACUCCAAAGAUUUCUAAAUUUUGCUUAUAGCCAUUCUGUCUUUUAUAUAGAAGCUUUGAUUCAGAAAAACAUGUAAAAGUCUACUUGACAUCCUAAUUCUCAUGAAUGUUCAUUCCACUAUGUUUUAGAAAAUGUAUAACACAAGUGAGUUUAGGUUUGCCCUAAACUUCAUUCUUCAUCAUCAAUAAUAUAAACUAGUUGUUUUUCUGUGUGACACAUUUAAAAAGGUAAUAAAACAUGCUCACACAUUUAAA
Harpia harpyja (harpy eagle) is the source of this 1577-nucleotide long non-coding RNA. RefSeq lists it as uncharacterized. Lineage: Eukaryota; Metazoa; Chordata; Aves; Accipitriformes; Accipitridae. The record is from RefSeq and is a predicted model, not a curated record. The transcript is spliced from 2 exons.